RNAcentral lists this long non-coding RNA (1083 nucleotides) under Marmota monax (woodchuck). Lineage: Eukaryota; Metazoa; Chordata; Mammalia; Rodentia; Sciuridae. The record is from RNAcentral.
CCUACUGGGCCCACUGAAGCUCCCUGGCUCAUUGGCAAGGACCCGGAUCCUCUCAGCUUCGCAGACCGGCCAGACUGGCCUGAUUGGCCUAUUAAACCCAGAAUCCUUUCCCCUCUUUUUCUCAGAGGGGGACAUGUCAGGAACUGUCUCUUAGGGAUACUCGGGACUUUGAAGGCAACCCAGUCGUUGGGCAGGUCUUGGAAUCCCUGGGCUGUAUUUGCCCAGCUACAUCUUUGUUGUUGCUAUUGAGUUUAAUUGGGGGCAGGCCUUGCACCCCUCUGUCCAACUUUUACCUGGGAAAUCUUAAAGCUCUUCAUCUGCCCUCUGCUCCAUCGCAUCUCUGAGUAACAGUCACCCUUUAGCAUUUCCCACUACAAAAGCCAAACUCUCGGUGGAGCAAACCGAUGCCCUUCAGCCCAGUAAAGGACACACCUCGAGGAGGGAACCACCUGCCCAGUGUCCUGGACGACCUCACCUCACCUCUGCCGUUACUCAUCCACCCCUGUCCAGCUCUGAAGCAAGUUCUCCUCUUGAAGACAGGGCUGACUUGAGUGCAUAUUUCUGCCUUCAGCUACUUCCUGCUCCCUUGUUCAACAGCAUAAAUAUGGCUCAGCCUCCGUCUUCACAGAUCAGAUGUCCAAUGUGCCAGGAGGGGCAGAAGUGAAUGACAGGGAGGCCUUGGAGAAGGACACGUGUCCCCAGGACCAACAGGGAGAAGGAGAAGCCAUUCUCAGCUGCCAGACUCUGGGACCUCAGAUCCCUCUGCUUCGGCUGAAGGGAGCCUCAGGGCUCCUGUGACACAGUACCCAGUCCUCUCUUUCCUCCUUCCCUCCAUUUAGCACUAUGGUGUGUUGGCUCAACGCACAGUACCUGUUACCCACUCCAGGAAGAGAGCGAGCCGCUCAUUCUGAUUAGCUGUCAGAACUAAUUCUAAGCCGUGUUAUUAUAUGUUAAGGAGGAAAAAGGAAAUCCAAAGAAACUGUACUUAAGGCCAGUGCCUAAUCAGGUUUUUUUCCCCUUCAUCUGUUUUGUACAAAAGCUGCCUGGAAUUACUGGUGUGAACCACUUUAUACCCCUCUUCAA